GUAAAUAUAGUUUAUUAAAAUACUAGUCUGUGACUCUAGAGACAGAGGAUAUCUUCUUCUUAUUUACC
Molecule: transfer RNA, 68 nt
Filed under: Phoenicolacerta kulzeri (common Eurasian lizard)
Lineage: Eukaryota; Metazoa; Chordata; Lepidosauria; Squamata; Lacertidae
Description: tRNA-His
Rfam family: tRNA
About the family: Transfer RNA (tRNA) molecules are approximately 80 nucleotides in length. Their secondary structure includes four short double-helical elements and three loops (D, anti-codon, and T loops).
Source: RNAcentral